Molecule: long non-coding RNA, 834 nt
Organism: Triticum dicoccoides
Lineage: Eukaryota; Viridiplantae; Streptophyta; Magnoliopsida; Poales; Poaceae
Exons: 3
Source: RefSeq, a predicted model, not a curated record
GCUCCGGCGACGGCUUCACUAGCAGCUCCGGCGGCCACUCCAGUGGCGCGGUGGCUUCAACGGCGGCUCCAGCAGGCGACGGCCACAGUCGGGGUUUGGGAUUCAGUUUUGUCUAGAUUGCUAGAAGAUGGAAGGAAAGGGAAAGGGACUAGUAAAUCCAAAGAAAAGAGGAAGAGAUUUGAAAAAGUAUUUUGAAGUGCUUGGUAGUGGCAGCAACUCACAAACAAAUCCAAGCACCCGCGAAAGUGUCAAUAUUUCAGCAAAUGUCAAUCAUCAAGAUCAAGUGACUUCCAUGGAAGAAGAGCAUGAAAAUUUGAUGCCAACCGAACAAGUAGAAGAACAAACUGCAGAUUCGGUCGAAGCUAUAGUAGAAGAGAAUGUUGAAGUUCACGGGGUUGAAGGUAUAACUAUUUUUAGUGAAGAUUACAUAAAUGGUGAUCCAGGCCUUCGCAUUCCACUUGAUAGUUUUGCCCCCAACAUUAGAGAUGAUGUUAGAUUUGCUUAUAUCCGAAUGGGUGACCAACUAGUUGCACUUUCCCCCCAAAUAGAGAUGGAAGAUGCUUCCGGCCACAAUGAUAUAAGGAUUUUGAGUGGUUGGAAUAUAGUGUGGAUAAGCGUAAGGCAUAUUGCUUCUAUUGUUAUCUUUUUAAGCAUGUCCGAAUGGAUGAUAAAUUUGGGCAUGAUGUUUUCUCCAAAUUGGGUUUUGACUGUUGGAAAAAUGCGGUUGUAGCAUUCCGUAAACAUGUUGGUGGGCCAUGUAGCAUCCACAAUAUUUCAAAAACAGCAUGUGAUGAUUUUAAAAAUCAAAGGGCAAGUGUGAAAAGUAAAGUUACA